Molecule: ribosomal RNA, 468 nt
Filed under: uncultured bacterium
Lineage: Bacteria
Description: partial 16S ribosomal RNA
Rfam family: Bacterial small subunit ribosomal RNA
Source: RNAcentral
GACGAACGCUGGCGGCGUGCUUAAUACAUGCAAGUCGAACGGAAAGGCCCUGCUUUUGUUGGUUGCUCGUUUGGCGAACGGGUGAGUAACACGUGAGUAACCUGCCCUUGUCUUUGGGAUAACUUCAGGAAACUGGGGCUAAUACCGGAUAUGAGCUCCUGCUGCAUGGUGUGGGUUGGAAAGUUUCGGCUGUUGGGGAUGUACUCGCUGCUUAUCCGCUUCUUUGUCGGGUAGUGGCUUACCAAGGUUUUGACGGAUAGCCGGCCUGAGAGGGUGAACGGCCACAAUGGGACUGAGAGAGGGACCAGAAGCGAACGGGAGGCAGCAGUGGGGAAUAUUGCGGAGUAGGGGGAAGCCAGAUACAGAAACGCCGCGUGCGGGAUAACGGCCUUCGGGGUGUAAACAGAUUUGGAAUGUGACGAAGAGUGAGUGACGGUAAUGGGUAAGGAAGCAACGGCUAACUACGUG